RNAcentral lists this ribosomal RNA (465 nucleotides) under Candidatus Williamhamiltonella defendens. Its description in RNAcentral is "bacterial SSU rRNA". It matches the Rfam family "Bacterial small subunit ribosomal RNA", at positions 338 to 795 of the family's 1533-position model. Lineage: Bacteria; Pseudomonadati; Pseudomonadota; Gammaproteobacteria; Enterobacterales; Enterobacteriaceae. The record is from RNAcentral.
CCUACGGGUGGCUGCAGUGGGGAAUAUUGCACAAUGGGCGAAAGCCUGAUGCAGCCAUGCCACGUGUGUGAAGAAGGCCUUCGGGUUGUAAAGCACUUUCAGCGAGGAGGAAGCGAUAAAUGCGAAUACCAUUUAUUUUUGACGUUACUCGCAGAAGAAGCACCGGCUAACUCCGUGCCAGCAGCCGCGGUAAUACGGAGGGUGCGAGCGUUAAUCGGAAUAACUGGGCGUAAAGGGCAUGUAGGCGGUGAGUUAAGUCAGAUGUGAAAUCCCCGAGCUCAACUUGGGAAUGGCAUUUGAAACUGGGUCGCUAGAGUUUUCUAGAGGGGGGUAGAAUUCCAGGUGUAGCGGUGAAAUGCGUAGAUAUCUGGAGGAAUACCGGUGGCGAAGGCGGCCCCCUGGAGAAAGACUGACGCUGAGGUGCGAAAGCGUGGGGAGCAAACAGGAUUAGAUACCCCGGUAGUC